UCCUUCCAUCCAAUCACCGCACCGCCCCCAACCUCCUCUCUCUCUCUCUUCCUUUCUCCUCCGCAUCGCUCGCCCAAAUCCAAUCUCUUUUGCCUCGUUGACGAGAUAGCAUAGCUCCGAUUAUUAUGACGAGACUAAUUACUGCAGUAAUUCGCAGUGAUCAGGAAGUGAGCCGAACAAAAGCCUUGGAGUAGCUGAUGAGAUGAGAUUGAUAGAAUUAAUUAAUUGAUUGAUCUCUUCUUGACGAGCAAACGAUUCGCUAGGUCGUAGUAGUAGUAAUAAUGGUGACAAUAGUGGUGGUAAUACAUCGAGCCUCUCGGGGGGAAAAAAUGCCAAAACCAGAGGCGUUGAUCUCUCUCUCUCUCUCUACUCUUCUCUGCGUCUUCUUCCUCCUCGGGAGGAGGAGGAGGAGGAGGAGAUCGCAGCGAGUAGUAGUAGUGGUAGCAAACAGGGGGGGAAGGAAUCGUGGAAUCCGUACUAGUCCUGGAAGCCGGUCUUCUCCCAGAUGGCGUUGCGGACGCGGCGGAGGUCGCGGCCCUUGAGGGUGCGGCCGGCGCCCUCGCGGACGGAGAAGGAGGCGGAGGCGCGCUCGCGGCAGAGGAGGAGCUCGUGGGGNN
Molecule: long non-coding RNA, 617 nt
Filed under: Oryza brachyantha (malo sina)
Lineage: Eukaryota; Viridiplantae; Streptophyta; Magnoliopsida; Poales; Poaceae
Description: long non-coding RNA (OBRA_LNC002705)
Source: RNAcentral